GACGAACGCUGGCGGCGUGCCUAAUACAUGCAAGUCGAGCGGACUGAUUAAGAGCUUGCUCUUAUGACGUUAGCGGCGGACGGGUGAGUAACACGUGGGCAACCUGCCCUGUAGAUCGGGAUAACACCGAGAAAUCGGUGCUAAUACCGGGUAAUAUCUGAGAUCACAUGAUCUUAGGUUAAAAGAUGGCUCCGGCUAUCACUACAGGAUGGGCCCGCGGCGCAUUAGCUAGUUGGUAAGGUAAUGGCUUACCAAGGCGACGAUGCGUAGCCGACCUGAGAGGGUGAUCGGCCACACUGGGACUGAGACACGGCCCAGACUCCUACGGGAGGCAGCAGUAGGGAAUCUUCCGCAAUGGACGAAAGUCUGACGGAGCAACGCCGCGUGAGUGAUGAAGGGUUUCGGCUCGUAAAGCUCUGUUGUUAGGGAAGAAACAGUACCGAACGAACUAGGUCGGUACCUUGACGGUACCUAACCAGAAAGCCACGGCUAGCUACGUG
This 500-nucleotide ribosomal RNA is filed under the name uncultured bacterium. RNAcentral describes it as "partial 16S ribosomal RNA". It matches the Rfam family "Bacterial small subunit ribosomal RNA", at positions 28 to 507 of the family's 1533-position model. The record is from RNAcentral.